CAGGUUACUGUAAGAUUCUUAUGUUUGUUGUCCAAUUGAAUUGUUCACAUUAUAGGUCACAUUAAAAGUGGAAAUCAUUCUGACAUGAUUUAUCUUUGUCUAAUUUUUUUU
Long non-coding RNA from Etheostoma cragini (Arkansas darter), 111 nucleotides. RefSeq lists it as uncharacterized. NCBI's taxonomy places the organism in Eukaryota, Metazoa, Chordata, Actinopteri, Perciformes, Percidae. The transcript is spliced from 4 exons. The record is from RefSeq and is a predicted model, not a curated record.